This 490-nucleotide ribosomal RNA is filed under the name uncultured bacterium. RNAcentral's name for it is "partial 16S ribosomal RNA". It matches the Rfam family "Bacterial small subunit ribosomal RNA", at positions 30 to 507 of the family's 1533-position model. The record is from RNAcentral.
AUUGAACGCUGGCGGCAGGCCUAACACAUGCAAGUCGAACGGUAACAGGAAGAAGCUUGCUUCUUUGCUGACGAGUGGCGGACGGGUGAGUAAUGUCUGGGAAACUGCCUGAUGGAGGGGGAUAACUACUGGAAACGGUAGCUAAUACCGCAUAACGUCGCAAGACCAAAGAGGGGGACCUUCGGGCCUCUUGCCAGCGGAUGUGCCCAGAUGGGAUUAGCUAGGAGGUGGGGUAAUGGCUCACCUAGGCGACGAUCUCUAGCUGAUCUGAGAGGAUGAGCGGCCACCCUGGAACUGAGACACGGUCCAGACUCCUACGGGAGGCAGCAGUGGGGAAUAGUGCACAGAGGGCGCAAGCCUGAUGCAGCCAUGCCGCGUGUAUGAAGAAGGCCUUCGGGUUGUAAAGUACUUUUAGCGGGGAGGAAGGGAGUAAAGUUAAUACCUUUGCUCAUUGACGUUACCCGCAGAAGAAGCACCGGCUAACUCCGUG